Molecule: small nucleolar RNA, 110 nt
Filed under: Gossypium arboreum
Lineage: Eukaryota; Viridiplantae; Streptophyta; Magnoliopsida; Malvales; Malvaceae
Description: Plant small nucleolar RNA R71
Rfam family: Plant small nucleolar RNA R71
About the family: R71 is a member of the C/D box family of snoRNAs containing the C (UGAUGA) and D (CUGA) box motifs. Multiple nearly identical copies of this snoRNA have been identified in Arabidopsis, and it is thought to function as a 2'-O-ribose methylation guide for 18S ribosomal RNA.
Source: Rfam by way of RNAcentral
AGGUUACCAUGAUGAGGACACCUUCUCAAAAGAUCCUUAAAUCUCUCCCAUGCAUCAUACGAUGUCUCAAGCUUAAAUUGAGCAAAAAAAGAUGUGUCAUUCCUCAACUU